AUGUCAUUUGUUUACUAAUCGAGUUUGCUUUGGUUGUUACUUUUGUUGCUUUCGUUGAGUCUGUUUUAUCGAGUCAAAAUCGUAUCUUUUAUUGAGUCAAAAUGUUGUUUGAGAACUAUGAUCUUUUCUUAGGGAAUUGCACCAUGUUUGAUUUGAUUGCCUUGGGACCAUUUUAGCACUAUUCGAUAACUUGGAAGUUCAGGAAAAUCCAUCACUUGAUCACUUUAUAGUAGUCCCUAUCUCUUUGAAAUUUAGAUGAAUUGAGCUUAAUCUUAUAUACUUGAACUUAAUCUGGACUUAAUUUAUCUCACUUAGGGGCUUGAGAAUCAUGUAAUGGAUCAUACAUUCAGAGUUUUGUUCGCAUCAUUUUUACCACUCUUUGCUAACUCUGAAUGGCUAGACUCACUUUUAGUCUAGUACCGCAUGUGUUUCCCCACCCAUUGUUUGAAACCUCAUGCAUUCUGAUAUGAUCAUCAUGAUAUGCAUCCAUGUGCGAAAACUACGGAGUAUACGGACCGACAUAGCUUUCCUUUUAUUAGGAUAGUGAGUUGUAGUUUACUGGUUGUCGAUAUGUGAUGAGAUUGAGCCAUUGUGGUUUAGAGGUUAUAUUCAUGGGUAUAUGCUGCUGUUUGCGAUUGUUCUUGAUGCAGAUUUUUGUGAGACACCG
Molecule: long non-coding RNA, 667 nt
Filed under: Arabidopsis lyrata
Lineage: Eukaryota; Viridiplantae; Streptophyta; Magnoliopsida; Brassicales; Brassicaceae
Description: long non-coding RNA (ALYR_LNC002810)
Source: RNAcentral